This 1185-nucleotide long non-coding RNA is filed under the name Daucus carota (carrot). RNAcentral's name for it is "long non-coding RNA (DCAR_LNC000166)". Lineage: Eukaryota; Viridiplantae; Streptophyta; Magnoliopsida; Apiales; Apiaceae. The record is from RNAcentral.
UAAAACGUACGACAAAGAUACUUUGAGGGUCGAAAGGUACGUUUUUAAACUUCGAGGCUGCAUUGGAACUUCCACCCAUACUUCGAGGGUUAAAAGGUCAUUAAGCCUACUUUUUAUGCAUAGCUAAAUCAUAAACCGUGGAUAUUGUCAAGAUUUCAUGGCCGCUGGUUUACUUCCCUGAUGUCUGCCUGGCUACUCUGCAAGAUCAGCAUGCCUGUUGAAUAAAAAGAUGAUAAUAUUUUAGGAAAACUAAUAAAAGCAAAUAAAGAUGCCUCCUUGUCCAGACUGGCAAAAACAUGUCUUCGAAUUCAAAUCUUUUAAGGCAUCAUGGCAAAGUUACAUAUCCUGGAAUUCAAAUCUUUGAAGCCACUAACCAAAUGAGUUUCAAGAUGGAAGUUAUUUUCAACUUCCUAUUAUAUCUCAAAUUCUACUUGCUGCUCAUACCCCUCAUAACUAAUAUUUACUUAAUUGGCUAAAACUUGUGACAUGACCGCAAUUUUUUUUCCAUUUAAAUCUUAACAAAAACUAACUUGCCUUGGCCAACAGCUUUAAUUUCAUGUCCUGACACUACUCAUCUACUAACAACUUAAUAAAUGGUUGGUGAGAAUCUGAACACCCAUUAAAUUAUACUCCCUCCAUCCCAUUUUAAGUGUCCACUUUGCAAAUUUCACACAUCUUAAGAAACAAUUAAUGUAAUGCUUUUAUUAUUAUCUUCACACACCUAUUCACCUUGGUUUUUAUAAAUAUUAAUUACGUAUAGCACCACUCCUAGUGUGUAUUUGACCUUUCUUCAUAUUGGAAUUAGCUGGUUGUAUUUAAUACUAUAUUGAAACUAGUGAAAAAUUGCAUGGGUUAAAGAGUAUGACACAUAUUUUGGGAAUUUUUUUUUUGGCAAAGUGGACACUUAAAAUGGGAUGGAGGGAGUAUAUUUUUAUAUAAGAAUGUACAAACUUUAUUGUAUUCCGACCCGCUCUGAAACCUAAAUACAUAACCUACAAAGAAAAUAUUUAUGUACUUGAAAGAGGACUCGAUUGGUAUGAUAGGAAGAAUGAGUAUAUGCAUAUGUAGAAGAAGAGCUAAGUUAUAUUGGUGUUUUAAUGCCCGAGGAACCUGUAAAACACACAAUGCACGUCCAAGAAACAAUAAUAUGGCAAGUACAUUACCUGCCUAUACAGAGGAUGUCAA